CGCUGCCUGCCUGUCUCUCUGCCCCACCAGCUGAGGGAGCCAUUGCUCUGCCUGCCUGGUGUCUCAGCCCAGCUGCAUGGCUGCCUCUGAAGGGUGGCAGGGGGAGGGCAAGGACAGGGCCUUAUAGAGGCCUGGAGUGGCACUGCAGCCAUGGCUGUGGGCGGGAAGACAGAGCGGGGACUGCUGAGGAAAGAAGGAGCAAAGGAAAGGGCCAGUUCCCCUCAGAAGUGCCUCACAGUCAAGCUGAGGAAAACAAUCUCAGUUGGAAGAAAGUUGGGGGGUGGGUAGUUGCUCAAUCUGGAAUAACUACUGCCUCAAAUUCCAAAUGCCAGCUUUUCCACCUCACGAUGCCAGGUAUCACAAUAUAGUGAUACAUUGUGGUGUUGGAAAGAGGAGGGAGGAAUAAGCUCCAUCAGACCAGGCCCUGCAAGGCGUUGGGGUGAAACCACCUCAGCUCCAUUAGCGGGAGUGGCGGCAGUUUCACCUCAGCACCUGUGGGCCUGGGCCCAAUGGAGCUUAUUUGUCCCUCAGUGUGCCAGGCACUUGGCAGCAGAGGGGGUUCUUUUGUCGCCAGAGCCCAGCGCACCGAGGGACAAACGAGCUCAAACGAGCUCCAUCGGCCUUGGCACCUCACGAAUCAUUCCUCCCUUGGUCUGAGGGCCAGGGUGUGAUGGCACCUACCCGGAAGUAUAUUGCAGGUGAAACUGCCGCUGCUGUGUCCUGACUCAGGAGUGGCGGUUUCACCCGCAAUAUACCACCAAGUGAAGGCACCAUUGCACUCUGGCCCUCAAACCAACCCUGGGCGAUGUACAGUCAUACCUCGGGAUAAAUGUGCUUCAAGUUAAGUAUUUUCGGGUUGUGCUCCGCGGCGACCUGGAAGUAACGGAGCACUUUACUUCCGGGUUUCAUCACACGUGCAUGUGCAGAUGGUCAAAAUGACUUCACACGCAUGCGCGGAAGCGGCAAAAUGCGACCCACGCACACGCAGACACACAGAUGCGGGUUGUGUUCGCUUCAGGAUGCGAACGGGGCUCCAGAACAGAUCCCGUUCGCAUCCCGAGGUACCAUUGUAUUGAUACAUCACUUAGGCCCAACCCAUACUACGCAAAUGGGUGGUGCCCCUUCCCUCACCUGGCUGGUAGUGAGAAGGACAAUAACCAGGGCAAAGCUGAGGUAUGCAUGUGAGCUGGGCCAGAAGCAGGCAGAAGCUGGAAAUGGGAGAGCCAUACUUGAUUUCUGCUUGUCUCUAAGGCUGUGAAUAUUGGAGAAGCAAGACCUUCUGGGGUGUUAAUGCUGUGGACCCCUCCAUUGUGGGCUCAGGUUGUACAUAGGUGCAAAUAAACCAUAUAUCCCAAAGGCACCACAGUGCACUGCCACUUGUUCCAAGGAAACCAAACUCUGGGUAAACGCCUAGAACCCAUGGAAUCUCGCACCAGUCAGAGAUUGGGGGUGGCACACAACAUUAUUUUCAUAUCUGUUUUGUUUUGAACAGAUUUCUCUCUUUUCUCAGGGUUCAUCUAACAAUGCAGCAAGUUUCAACCUUCCCAACCGGAAACCCUCAAGGAGGAUGUGAGCCCUACAGCAAUACUCUCCCCACUUGUAAUUCCUGGCAACCAUCAUUCAGGGGUAUCUUGCCCCCACAGUGGAAGAAGAACCUAGACAUUGUGACUAGUAGCCAUUGGGGCGCUGGCAGAGGAAGAGGGGGGCAGGGGGAGUGCACCGCCCCCGGCAGUGUGAUCCCAGUGGGGUGCCAUCAUGGCUACCUGCCCACCCACGCUGGGCACCACGCCCCCGCAAGCGGCAUGUCACGCCCCCAGGACGCACGCCAUGCCCCCAAGAAGCGUGCCACCCCGCCCCUGCCUGCUCUCCGCCCCCCCAGUGCCAGAGCAUGAAGCUCUGCCACUACACUGAUGGCCUUAUCCUCUGUUAAAGGAUGAUGGCAGCUGGAAAUCUGCCUCAUCUGGAAAGCACCAGGUUGGGGGGAGGUGGUUUGCUAUGGUGUUUAUUUUAUUUAUUUACUGAAUAUUCAUCUCCCCUUUCCCCAGGGAUUGUGACCCUGUCUCAAUCUGUACAGUCUCCCCAGAUUAUUUGGGAUCAUGCAGGCGAUUCUUUCUGAGGAAGGAAGGAAAGUCCAGCCAUUCUAAGACAAGACCCAAUGCCAGUUAUACUGAAAUAUAACCCAAUGAAAUAUUUGCAGUUAAAUAACCUGGGCUGGUUGAUGUUGAUUGAUCUAUAUACCAAGGGUGACCUACAAUUCCAUUUAUGUACAUUUAUUAAACUUAUUAGUCACUUGCCAUCCAAAGGUCUCCAAGCGACAUAAAAGUAAUACACACACAAAAAUACAUAAUACCAUGGGGGGGGGGAGGAGGAUCAUACAUCAAUAUAUUGUCUAACAUAACACUUAUGUAAAGAUGAAAGAACAAAACACACCUGCCCUAUAAACAACAAACAACAAAAAAAUACUUAAAUAAUAGGCAAAGAAUGCUCCCACCCACUAAUUAGCAG
Molecule: long non-coding RNA, 2505 nt
Filed under: Podarcis lilfordi (Lilford's wall lizard)
Lineage: Eukaryota; Metazoa; Chordata; Lepidosauria; Squamata; Lacertidae
Source: RNAcentral